UAAAGUGCGAAAUGUAGUGCAAUUUGCAUGAAUCUGUGAGUCAUCUAAUUUUUGAACGCAACUUGCGCCUAUUUAAGGCAUGUCUGUUUGAGUACCGCAUACCAAGUGCAGCAAUGCGAAUUGGUCUUGGCGUCAGGCCUUGACUUUAGUAUAGCAUGAUUAGCGUUUGUGAUGCAAACCAUGUGCUAGAGACGCAAGUCUUCUCAUGGUCGAAAUUACAAACUUUUUUCUUUUGGUCUCAAAUCAGGCAAGAUUACCCGCUGAACUUAA
This 270-nucleotide unclassified non-coding RNA is filed under the name uncultured fungus. Its description in RNAcentral is "sequence contains ITS1". The stretch from base 1 to 97 matches the Rfam family "5.8S ribosomal RNA", at positions 49 to 154 of the family's 154-position model. Lineage: Eukaryota; Fungi. The record is from RNAcentral.